GAUGAAGAACGCAGCGAAAUGCGAUACGUAGUGUGAAUUGCAGGUUUACGUGAAUCAUCGAAUCUUUGAACGCAAAUUGCACUUUCCAGUAUUCUGGGAAGUAUGCCUGGUUGAGGGUCGUUAAAAUAACAAUCGUAAAAUUUUUUUACGGAUUUGGGUAUUCCGGCGUUUUUUAAAUGCUGGUAACUUUAAAAUGAUCUUUUUUGGUUUAAGUUAAAACGUUCUAUAAUUACAUGGUUCGUUGAAAACUUACCUAAUAUAUUAUAUAUUAUGUUUACACUUGUCACUUUAAUCGAUUUGUGCAAGCAUAUAUUUUUUUUAUGACCUCAACUCAAGCAAGAUUACCCGCUGAACUUAAGCAUAUCAAUAAGCGGAGGA
This 378-nucleotide unclassified non-coding RNA is filed under the name soil metagenome. Its description in RNAcentral is "partial contains 5.8S ribosomal RNA, internal transcribed spacer 2, and large subunit ribosomal RNA". The stretch from base 1 to 120 matches the Rfam family "5.8S ribosomal RNA", at positions 35 to 154 of the family's 154-position model. The record is from RNAcentral.